This 1038-nucleotide long non-coding RNA is filed under the name Ananas comosus (pineapple). Its description in RNAcentral is "long non-coding RNA (ACOM_LNC029156)". The record is from RNAcentral. Lineage: Eukaryota; Viridiplantae; Streptophyta; Magnoliopsida; Poales; Bromeliaceae.
UUCAGCAUUUUCAGACUUAGCCAAAAUUUCAGCCUUUUCACCAAUUUUGGUCCGUUUUCACUCGUUUUCGCUCCGUGAGUCUCCGAUUCGUCUCAAAUCGCACCGAGACUCUCAAAACAUGUUUUCGAGCAUAUUUUCAUUAUCUUUUCAUCCACGCCUUGCCGGAUUUCGGCUAAGGUCCAAUCAUAGCCUUUCGGGUUCCGUUUUCGCGCCUACGCGCUCCGAAAACGCCCGAAUGCUUCCGAACUUCACCGGAAUCAUUCUAAUGGCUUUCCAAAACAAUAUCCACCGAAACUUCAUAACUUUAGAAGUUCGGUACCUUACAGAUAUGUCAACUAAACUCUCAUGCAUAUAUCUCACAACAUGUUCAAAUACAUAUGUCCUCUAACAUCUUAUGCAUAUAUCUCACAUAUUCUCACAACAUGUUCACAUACAUAGGUCCACUAGCCUCCCAUGCAUAUAUCUUACAACAUGUUCACAUGCAUAUGUCCUUUAACAUCUCAUGCACAUAUCUCACAUAUUCUCACAAUAUGUUCACAUGCAUAUGUCCUCUAGCAUCUCAUGCAACAUACAUAUACACAUCUAUCUCAACAUCAUGCAAAUAAUACACCUACAAGUAUCAUGCAACAUGGAUCAUCAUCCCUCACACUAAAGCAUAAAUUUACUAAAGACUUAUAGGUUUCUCACAUAAUAACAAUGCAUGAUGCUACAUGAUCAAUAUGUAGAACUUAGACAUAGAAUGAAAUCCGACUAAUUCGGAUAGCACCUCCCACCUCGUGUCGACGUCACGAAGCGGGAAAGCCAAGCUGCGCAAUUUAUCGUCGUCGAUUUCUCCCGACUGCGGCAAACGAAACCAACACGGCAAUUUCUCCAAAUCAACUACCACAAGCUCAACGAAACCUCAAUCUAAGCGAUCCACCACAUCGAUUUUACCUUCAAUUGCGGAAACAUAGGAUCAAUUGAGAUCAAAACCCAUCUAACCACAAAACCCUCAUUUGAAACCCAAGAAACCCAUACAUGGCAUAAUAUCCAAAUCUC